RNAcentral lists this ribosomal RNA (862 nucleotides) under Neisseria sp. 8d. Its description in RNAcentral is "bacterial SSU rRNA". It matches the Rfam family "Bacterial small subunit ribosomal RNA", at positions 8 to 859 of the family's 1533-position model. The record is from RNAcentral. Lineage: Bacteria; Pseudomonadati; Pseudomonadota; Betaproteobacteria; Neisseriales; Neisseriaceae.
AGAGUUUGAUCAUGGCUCAGAUUGAACGCUGGCGGCAUGCUUUACACAUGCAAGUCGGACGGCAGCACAGAGAAGCUUGCUUCUUGGGUGGCGAGUGGCGAACGGGUGAGUAACGCAUCGGAACGUACCGAGUAGUGGGGGAUAACUGUCCGAAAGGAUGGCUAAUACCGCAUACGCUUUGAGAAGGAAAGCGGGGGAUCUUCGGGCCUCGCGCUAUUCGAGCGGCCGAUGUCUGAUUAGCUAGUUGGUGGGGUAAAGGCCUACCAAGGCGACGAUCAGUAGCGGGUCUGAGAGGAUGAUCCGCCACACUGGGACUGAGACACGGCCCAGACUCCUACGGGAGGCAGCAGUGGGGAAUUUUGGACAAUGGGCGCAAGCCUGAUCCAGCCAUGCCGCGUGUCUGAAGAAGGCCUUCGGGUUGUAAAGGACUUUUGUCAGGGAAGAAAAGCUUUGGGUUAAUACCCUGGAGUGAUGACGGUACCUGAAGAAUAAGCACCGGCUAACUACGUGCCAGCAGCCGCGGUAAUACGUAGGGUGCGAGCGUUAAUCGGAAUUACUGGGCGUAAAGCGAGCGCAGACGGUUUGUUAAGCAGGAUGUGAAAUCCCCGGGCUCAACCUGGGAACUGCGUUCUGAACUGGCAGGCUAGAGUAUGUCAGAGGGGGGUAGAAUUCCACGUGUAGCAGUGAAAUGCGUAGAGAUGUGGAGGAAUACCGAUGGCGAAGGCAGCCCCCUGGGAUAAUACUGACGUUCAUGCUCGAAAGCGUGGGUAGCAAACAGGAUUAGAUACCCUGGUAGUCCACGCCCUAAACGAUGUCAAUUAGCUGUUGGGGUGCUUGACACCUUAGUAGCGUAGCUAACGCG